Molecule: non-coding RNA, 72 nt
Organism: Ictidomys tridecemlineatus (thirteen-lined ground squirrel)
Lineage: Eukaryota; Metazoa; Chordata; Mammalia; Rodentia; Sciuridae
Source: Rfam
UGGGUUGUAGCUCAGUGGUAGAGCACUUGCCUAACAUGUGUGAGGCACUGGGUUCGAUCCUCAGCACAACAU